RNAcentral lists this transfer RNA (73 nucleotides) under Chloroflexota bacterium. Its description in RNAcentral is "tRNA-Arg". It matches the Rfam family "tRNA". Rfam says of the family: Transfer RNA (tRNA) molecules are approximately 80 nucleotides in length. Their secondary structure includes four short double-helical elements and three loops (D, anti-codon, and T loops). The record is from RNAcentral. Lineage: Bacteria; Bacillati; Chloroflexota.
GCUGGUGUAGCUCAAUGGAUAGAGUAGUGGUCUUCGAAACCAAAGGCUGCAGGUUCGAGUCCUGUCACCAGCA